UGGGGAAUUUUGGACAAUGGGCGCAAGCCUGAUCCAGCCAUGCCGCGUGCAGGAUGAAGGCCUUCGGGUUGUAAACUGCUUUUGUACGGAACGAAAAGCUUCUGGUUAAUACCUGGGAGUCAUGACGGUACCGUAAGAAUAAGCACCGGCUAACUACGUGCCAGCAGCCGCGGUAAUACGUAGGGUGCGAGCGUUAAUCGGAAUUACUGGGCGUAAGGCGUGCGCAGGCGGUUAUGUAAGACAGAGGUGAAAUCCCCGGGCUCAACCUGGGAACUGCCUUUGUGGCUGCAUGGCUAGAGUGCGGCAGAGGGGGAUGGAAUUCCGCGUGUAGCAGUGAAAUGCGUAGAUAUGCGGAGGAACACCGAUGGCGAAGGCAAUCCCCUGGGCCUGCACUGACGCUCAUGCACGAAAGCGUGGGGAGCAAACA
RNAcentral lists this ribosomal RNA (427 nucleotides) under uncultured bacterium. RNAcentral describes it as "bacterial SSU rRNA". It matches the Rfam family "Bacterial small subunit ribosomal RNA", at positions 355 to 774 of the family's 1533-position model. The record is from RNAcentral.